This 5354-nucleotide long non-coding RNA is filed under the name Sus scrofa (pig). RNAcentral's name for it is "lncRNA (ENSSSCG00035042358.1)". The record is from RNAcentral. Lineage: Eukaryota; Metazoa; Chordata; Mammalia; Artiodactyla; Suidae.
CUUCCGGGUCGAGCAGCGUAUGGAGGUCAGCCAGUGGCGAGAGCCUGGGGCCUUCUUAGGUCUUGUGUGAGCAUCCACACAGCCCUGAGCACACUCCCAGCCCUGCCCAGGCACAUGUACGUGGCCUUCUAGAUCCCCAGGAAGGGUGGCUGCCGUGGGAAGGGGAGGAGUCAUCAGCUUCUGCCUCCUCCCUCUUCUGAGGGUCAGGCUUCCCGGAUUUACUUAUUUCCCUGGAGGUGGGGAGAGAGAAGGAACGUCGUCAAGAGUGACUCCAAGUCCUGGGACCUCAGUAACUGGCAGGAUGGAGUUUCCCUUGCUGAGAGGAGGACGAGUGGGGGGCCGAGGUUUGGGGAGUCAGAGCAGGUGCCGGGUCUGGCAGUGUCUGUUGAGUUACCUGUUCCGUGUUCUUCUGGAGCUUUCCAGCGGAGAGUCUUAGGAGCAGGUCUGGUGUUCAGGGAGGGCACGGAGCCUGGGUGGGCACCGUGGACAAGAGGACCAAGAAAUGGCCAUUCAUAGAGCCUAGUGGUGAAAGGGGUAGGGGAGAAAAAUCUCAGGCGCAAAUACUCAAAAAGCAUAUAGCCCUUUGUAUCUCCCCAGCUUCAUCUCACACCUUGUCCACCUCUACAGAGGCACCCCUCCCUCUGCAGGAGUCACAUUGAUGACCUUGAAUUAUAAAAAGAAAUAAAGUGAUAGAGCAAGAAGCAUGGGACACUGUCUAGUGCCCUUCUAAGCCGGCUCUGUGCCCUGUACUGACUCAUAGGCCAGCUCACCAAACGGGUACCUGCCGAGAGGGCAGGGAAGCCUGGCAUUAAUUCUGAAAAGACUUCUACACAAAUAUGUUCAACUUGACAUAAAUCAGCAUUUGAAAUUUGAACAGAGGGAAAGCCUCUUUUUGGUGAAAUGCAUUCAGGUGGACUCGCUCUUUGCCCAGGGAUGUUGGGACAGAUGAGACUUCACUGUGAAAGGCAAGUUGGGAAGAGUCGGGAAGCAGCGGAAGGCACUGGGACAGAUCCUCCUCCAAGGUCAGUGGCAUCCAUCACUCAGAGCCCUCCCCAGGCGGAAAAUGGACGUGCUUUGCUAGAGAGAGUUCAUAUUCCCCACUUGCAUUAAUCUCCUUUUCUAGGGAGCUUGCCAGGCGCCUAGGAAGACACACUUCACGUCGGAUGUAAAUGAGCGCUCUCUGUUCAUGGUCUUCCCAGGGACUGGCCCGCUGCUUCUCCAUACGGGCACCAUCUCGAACCAUCUUUUCAUUCGGUUGCCACAUACGGUUGGCUCAACCCAACUAAUCUUUUCUCUGUCGCGUCUCGUUGCUGCAAUCUGUGGUUCCAGCUUUUAGAGACUUAAUAAACGGAUGUGUUUUCCAGCCCCGAGGAAUGAAAUGAAGAUUGUCACUUGGCGGUGUUCUCCGCCAUCAUGUUUUUGUUGCCGUCGUAGAAAUGGAGCAGAAAAUUACGGCAGCUCCUUUAUUGCCCAACUGCCCGCGCCAUUUCCAGUCCUUGGGAAGGAAAUCAAUUGUUUCUGCAAAUUUCCUGCAGACAUUUGGUUAUUAUCUGUUGAAAUCCUCUGACCAAGCCUUAGUUCUGGGACAGAGAAAGAAACCACUUUUCUCGUCUCUGUGAAAAAUCAACUGCUACGGAAUCCUUUCAUUGUGUCUCUGCUGCUCACUCUGUCACAGGACAUUAAUGAAAGAGAGAUGCUUCUUUGUCAUGCAGCUUGACACUUUGUUCGAAACUUAUUUCUCGACUAUUCCUAAGCUUAACUCUGGACCAAACGCAGUGCUUACAACACUCAGAUAAGGAAACGUUUAAUCCCACUUUCUCGAUGAGACAACUGAGGCCAAAGAACUUAGAUAUGUCGCUUAAAGCCGGUGAGUUUUCUUCACAACAGUGUCCACUGCCCCUCCUGAGGUCCGUAUCACCUCCCAGGAAGAAUUUAUUUUUCACACUUUGGCAUUUUGUGUAGGAAUCACAAUGUGAGUAAAAAUAUCUCACAGUUUCUGCAGGGUAAGAAUCCAGUGUUGUCUCUGUAGUGGCUCCCGUCGCUGAUGAAGUGUGGGUUCGACCCCUGGCCUGGGAACGUCUGUACGCCGAGGGUUCGGCCCUGAAAAGACCAAAAGAGAAAAAGUUUGGAAGUCACUUGGCAGACAUGGGGAGCAUGUUGGCAGUCAUCUGCCAAGGGUAUAGACUGAAUAAUUAGGGAUGGAUUUUGAUACUGCUCAUAGCUGUCAACUUACUUAGCUGGGCAAGUCACUGACCAGCGAUGGCUUCAGUCCUGGGAGGCGCUGGCACAGGGGUGUCCCCAGCCACGUGUGGAGAAGAGGCACAGGCGGAAGACUGGGCAGGUGCUAGUCUGGGGCUGGUGGGAGAGUUAUUUCCUGAUCCAGCUUCUGCUGCUUCCAAAGGACUCAGAAUGCGGCAGCCUGGGAGGAAUGAGGCUGGGAGCUGGGGGAGCUGGGGCACCAAAGAGGGGCGGGUUCCCUGCGGACUGGAGAGGCUUCCAAUCUCCCGCCAGCACCUGGGGGCCUCAAACCGCAGAAACUCAAAUUCCCACAGUUCUGAAGGCUGAAGUCCAAGGGCAAGGUGUGGCAGGGCUGCUUUCCUCUGCGGCGUCUCGCCCCCUGUCCUCACAGGUCCCCUCCUCUGCCUGUUAGUGAUAAAUUUCCUCUUCUGAUCAGGACACUGGUCAUAGUGGAUCGGGGCCCACCCUAAUGACCUCAUGUUAACUUACCACUUGAAAUACCCCAUAUCCAAACGCAGUCACAUGCCGAGGAGCUGGGGUUAGAUUUCAACCUGUGAACUUGGGGGGCAUGCAGUUCCGCCCGUAACACCAAUUUUCAAUGGUUUUUCAGAUUCCUUUUUAAUGUGCCCCACAAGAGGGGGAAAACCCCAUUUUGAGCGCAAACACCCAAUGAAUCUACUUAUUUAUAAAUCAUAUUCUCCUGGACUAAUAUAUUUUGCACACUGGAAAGCAUACCCGUACAUAGACAAUUUAACGGGCAGACAAGAUGGAAAUAGAUGUUCUGUUUUGGGUCCCCUGGGACGGAGACCCCCUGGUCCUCAAAGGGGGACCAUUGCCUUUGGGGGGACCGAGUCUGGAUCUCCAGAUUGACACACUUAUUCCUUAGCUUUGAACACCUUCUGUAAGAUCCCAGCCACGGCUCCCGUCACCCUCUCUCUCUCGAAGGAAACGUGCCCUCCCUCCGGACCCGUCUCGUGUCAGUGUGUAGUUACCUCAGCAAUGGAAUUGCCUCCAGUUCCAAGUCCCAAGGGCACGCAUCCAUCCCCCCGCAGGCUCACCACCCCUGUGUUCCAUUCGCCCCCCCCCCCCAACCGUUUUCUAUUUGAUUGAGUUUACAUUCUUCCCGGCUCCUCACCGAGGCUGUGAACGCCCAGGGGGACAGGUUCGUCUUCGACUCUGUUUUCCUCGUGCCCAGCGUGGUGCUGGGGAGCAGCAGGGGCUUCCCAGAUUGCUGACGUCCUGGCUUUUCUACUUCAUCACAAGGCAAAACAGAAAAUUAACAACUCACUAUCGCUUUAGAGGUUAAAAAUUCAAGCCUUGCAAUUAAGCCAAAGAUAGAUAUGACUAUCUAUCACAAUAAAAAAUGAAUAGCCCUCUGAAUUGCCCUUGUAGAGAGGCCUCUGGGAGUAAAAAGACAUACAGGUCAAUACGUUUGACCGCUGUUGGUGUUCCCAGUGUGCAGGGCUCAGGGCUGCAGGCAAGGUGGUAUCCAGCCGCAACCUCAGCUCAGAGCUGCUGCAGGUGAAUUGACCUGUAAUGUUGCCUGAACUGUCAGCAGAAAAGCAAAGACAAGAUGUGAAAGUUAUCCUAAGGGGGAGGUCCAAGGACCAUGGCGAAGAGGCUGCCACAGUCCUGCCCACGGAGGAGAGGAAAAGCCUUGUUAGCGAGUGUCUGUUACGUGCCAGACACUGCUUAGCUUUCCCUGCCUGAGCUCCUUCAAUCCUCCAACACCACCAAGUAGGAAACAUCCGUGCUUCGCAGAUGCUGUUACUUCGAGACGUGAGGUAGUCGUCCCAGUAUCACAGAGCUAGGAGGGGAGUGGAGGAGCCGGAUUUGAACCCGGGGCUGUCUGACGGGGGGAGACGGUGGCUUCAUCUAUCAUCCUGCUGGGACCGGUGGAUCCCAGGCGCUUCCCCAUCUUCCAGCAUCUUUCCUUGACUCUCUCACCUCUUCUAGGCAGUGCCUCUGCCCUAUUCCCCGGUGGCGCUCUCUUCUGAUCAAGGCGGGCUGGCUGGACAAAGGCGGUAAUUACUGACCGAGGACCAGCCCCCCUCUCUGGCGAUCGACGUCCAUUCAGACUCGGGUCUCGAGGGGACCGUGUCGGACCCAGGAUGGAGAGAGAACCAAGGGCGGGCAGGCCUGUAGGACCUUGCCAGAUCAUGUCAGGCUGGCAGCCGUCUCUCCUGGGCCGUAUGGAGGCAUGGUGGGUUUUGUGUGGCUUUUGUCUGGGUUUAGUCCCAACCUCAGUGGGAGACGAACGAUGGGCUAUUAGACACCCUUACCUUAGGCUAUGAUGGACAGAACACCAACACGCCUAAGAACAGACUCUAUCUGUUGCUUAAUUAGAAGGAGGAGGCGUGAGUUCUGCUUUAAAGAAGAGCCUCUCAGAGUUCCCCUUGUGGCUCAUGGAACCCGACUAGUAUCCAUGAGGACGCAGGUUCGAUCCCUGGCCUCGCUCAGUGGGUUAAGGAUCCGCUGUUGCUGCGAGUGGUAGUGUAGGUCGAAGAUGUGGCUUGGAUUCAGCAUUGCUGUGGUUGUGGUGUAGGCAGGCAGCUGCAGCCCCCAUUCAACCCCUAGCCUGGGAGCUUCCUACAUCACAGGUGUAGCCAUAAGAAAAAAAGAGAGCGAGAGAAGAGUCUUUCUCGUGGUGCUGGCCUUCCCUUCCUGGGUCACCUGGGAUUUGAGGUCGGUUGUGCUCUUGAGUAUGUUCUUAGUGAACUUAGUUCACUGGCCGGAGACUUUCCCUUGAGGUUUCUUUGCCAAUGGACCCGGCUUCUAGGGCCGAGUGGCUGGUGGGGCUUUGUGGGCUAAGGGAGAGCUCCCGGUAGGCCUCAUCAAAACUGCACACCUUGUCACCAGAGGGGGCUCUGGGCAUUUUGACACUGUCUGAAACCUGCCCUCUAGUCUUUCCAAGUCAAGGGGACAUCAUCUCUCCACUCUUUGGAGCCCCAUUCACCCUUGAAAAAACGGAUCAAAUUUUCAACUUGACAAUAAGUGCCAGGCAAAUGCCUUCAUGGGUGCAGAACCCCCGCCCCCGCAGGCUCAGUGAUGGACAGUGGGGGACACAGACUCUAAAACCGAAAAACAUCCCAAGAAAUAGCAACAACAACAACAAC